Molecule: long non-coding RNA, 364 nt
Filed under: Pan troglodytes (chimpanzee)
Lineage: Eukaryota; Metazoa; Chordata; Mammalia; Primates; Hominidae
Description: long non-coding RNA NONPTRT014895
Source: RNAcentral
CGGGAAGGUAGUGCUGGAGGAAAGAAAGAAAAAGAUGACCUGGCCUCCUUGUAAACGUGUGAAUGGCAUACACAUACAGCACCUUUACCAGAAAAGAGGUCUAAGAGUUCGGAUGGCAAACAAACUAGCAUCUCUGAAUUUAUGGGGUAGUUAGCCUGAGAGCAUCUGUGACAGCCUAAGUGGUGGCCCCCAUGACCCUGCUGUUUUUCUUCUCUAUUCUGUUGCUAAUAAUGUUUUCUUCAUCCCUGAACAUCUGUCAGCUACUGAUGAAGUGAAUUGGCUAGAGAAAGGGCUGGACCUUGUUAAUUGCAUAGAAAAAACUAUCAAGAUGGCUGAAAUCAAAUGCAAAGAGGCAACAUCAAAC